Cyanistes caeruleus (blue tit) is the source of this 1031-nucleotide non-coding RNA. The record is from RefSeq and is a predicted model, not a curated record. Lineage: Eukaryota; Metazoa; Chordata; Aves; Passeriformes; Paridae.
AAAGGGUCAGGUUUGGGUUUAGGGCAAGGAGAGUUACUGAUGGCCAGCAGUGUGAUUCUGCAGCAUUGUCAUUGCCCAUAUGGCCAGAGAAUUAAAAAAGUAAAUACAAAGACUGCAUCUGUGUGUGGAUAGCAGCUGGGAGCUCACCAGGAAAGUGCAAAUGUAACCAUGGUGUUCACAAGAGGGGCAUGGCUCCGGGGUAAGCUUCAUCCCCAGUUUCCAGCUCCAUUUAACAGCAGCUCAAACACACCAUGACUGAGGCCUCUGUGAUGCUCAGCAUUAUUUGGAAGCCCAGCAAAGCAGCACAUGUUUAAUCCAAAGGAUGUUGCUACGUACCAUCCAUCCAAACUUCUGGAUAUCUACUGCAAAUCAAGUGCCAGGGAUUAAACUCCUGGUGUUCUGCAUCCAAAUGAGAUUUCUACUGGGCCAGAAAUACUUGCUUUUAGAAUUGAUUGUGUGAAACAUCGUGCUACAAUUUGAAUGAUCCUUUGAUGACUGGACUUUCUGGGAUAGAAGUUCCAAUAUGCUGUUGCAGUCAGGGAGGAACUGAGAAGCAGAGAACACAAAGGAAAACCCGGGGUUUACGCUUAAGACAAGGUUUCUUCAUGUUUUGCAGUAUGUCCCAGGUGCGGGGUAAGUCAGUGGAAGAUAUCACGGGAGGAGCAGGAACGCAGGGCUGGCGGAUGGAAAGCCGGGCUGUUCUCUGCAGCCAGCCCGAGCCCGAGGGCGUUCAGCGGCCUCUAAUGCCCUCUGAUGGACAAAAGCAUCGCAGCCGCGGCUCUGCCAGGGAGGCUCCUGGUUAAACCUGCCUUUGAGGGGCUUGGAGCUGAGAAGGUGAAGUCACCUCUUACUAAAGCUUGGCAGAUCCUUUUCUUCCUCCUUUACUGAGGUUUGUUUGUUUGGCUUAAGAACAGGAGGGAAAUAUUUUUGACCCUGAUGGCAGACUUGGCACAGUUCCCCCACAGUAACACCACGUCCAUCAGGAAUUGGGAUCAGACCUGUGCCUUACAGAGCAAUGCUUCCAGAAAGGA